ACCGCUGAUGCAUUGCUGCCCAACAUCAAAACCCCUCGAGCAUGGAUUGUAGACUUGUCUGAGCUGAUUGAUUUUUGAAUCUGCUCGCAUUCAGAACAUAUUAGCUCCAUUGCACAAUCUCAGGCGUUCUUGUAGAAAAUUAGUAUCCAGACGGCACAUACCUUGCCUUUGCCCAUGGAAGCGACCUUCACACUGGGCUGCUCAACAGCUGUAGUUAGGAUUGAACAUGGAUUUGAGGAAGAGAUGGAGCAGAGCAACAGAGAAGAACACGAGUGGGGACUGGGAGGAGCAACAGAGAGGCGAGAGACCAAGCAGCCGCCACCAGGUGAGCUAGGG
Molecule: long non-coding RNA, 336 nt
Filed under: Sorghum bicolor (sorghum)
Lineage: Eukaryota; Viridiplantae; Streptophyta; Magnoliopsida; Poales; Poaceae
Description: long non-coding RNA (SBIC_LNC004371)
Source: RNAcentral